GAUGAACGCUAGCGGCAGGCUUAACACAUGCAAGUCGAGGGGUAUUGGUUUUCGGACCAAGAGACCGGCGCACGGGUGCGUAACGCGUAUGCAAUCUACCUUUCACAGAGGGAUAGCCCAGAGAAAUUUGGAUUAAUACCUCAUAGUAUUAUGAAGUGGCAUCACUUUAUAAUUAAAGUCACAACGGUGAAAGAUGAGCAUGCGUCCCAUUAGCUAGUUGGUAUGGUAACGGCAUACCAAGGCGACGAUGGGUAGGGGUCCUGAGAGGGAGAUCCCCCACACUGGUACUGAGACACGGACCAGACUCCUACGGGAGGCAGCAGUGAGGAAUAUUGGACAAUGGGCGCAAGCCUGAUCCAGCCAUGCCGCGUGCAGGAUGACGGUCCUAUGGAUUGUAAACUGCUUUUGUACAGGAAGAAACACUCCUACGUGUAGGAACUUGACGGUACUGUAAGAAUAAGGAUCGGCUAACUCCGUGCCAGCAGCCGCGGUAAUACGGAGGAUCCAAGCGUUAUCCGGAAUCAUUGGGUUUAAAGGGUCCGUAGGCGGUCUUAUAAGUCAGUGGUGAAAUCUCCCCGCUCAACGGGGAAACGGCCAUUGAUACUGUAGGACUUGAAUUAUUAGGAAGUAACUAGAAUAUGUAGUGUAGCGGUGAAAUGCUUAGAGAUUACAUGGAAUACCAAUUGCGAAGGCAGGUUACUACUAAUGGAUUGACGCUGAUGGACGAAAGCGUGGGUAGCGAACAGGAUUAGAUACCCUGGUAGUCCACGCCGUAAACGAUGGAUACUAGCUGUUGGGGGCAACUUCAGUGGCUAAGCGAAAGUGAUAAGUAUCCCACCUGGGGAGUACGUUCGCAAGAAUGAAACUCAAAGGAAUUGACGGGGGCCCGCACAAGCGGUGGAGCAUGUGGUUUAAUUCGAUGAUACGCGAGGAACCUUACCAAGGCUUAAAUGUAGAUUGACCGGUUUGGAAACAGACCCUUCGCAAGACAAUUUACAAGGUGCUGCAUGGUUGUCGUCAGCGCGUG
RNAcentral lists this ribosomal RNA (1027 nucleotides) under uncultured bacterium. RNAcentral's name for it is "bacterial SSU rRNA". It matches the Rfam family "Bacterial small subunit ribosomal RNA", at positions 28 to 1064 of the family's 1533-position model. The record is from RNAcentral.